This 253-nucleotide ribosomal RNA is filed under the name uncultured bacterium. RNAcentral's name for it is "partial 16S ribosomal RNA". It matches the Rfam family "Bacterial small subunit ribosomal RNA", at positions 524 to 776 of the family's 1533-position model. The record is from RNAcentral.
UACGAAGGGGGCUAGCGUUGCUCGGAAUCACUGGGCGUAAAGCGCACGUAGGCGGGUUGUUAAGUCGGGGGUGAAAUCCUGGAGCUCAACUCCAGAACUGCCUUCGAUACUGGCGACCUUGAGUCCGGGAGAGGUGAGUGGAACUCCGAGUGUAGAGGUGAAAUUCGUAGAUAUUCGGAAGAACACCAGUGGCGAAGGCGGCUCACUGGCCCGGUACUGACGCUGAGGUGCGAAAGCGUGGGGAGCGAACAGG